Molecule: ribosomal RNA, 468 nt
Filed under: uncultured bacterium
Lineage: Bacteria
Description: partial 16S ribosomal RNA
Rfam family: Bacterial small subunit ribosomal RNA
Source: RNAcentral
GACGAACGCUGGCGGCGUGCUUAACACAUGCAAGUCGAACGGAAAGGCCCUGCUUUUGUGGGGUGCUCGAGUGGCGAACGGGUGAGUAACACGUGAGUAACCUGCCCUUGACUUUGGGAUAACUUCAGGAAACUGGGGCUAAUACCGGAUAGGAGCUCCUGCUGCAUGGUGGGGGUUGGAAAGUUUCGGCGGUUGGGGAUGGACUCGCGGCUUAUCAGCUUGUUGGUGGGGUAGUGGCUUACCAAGGCUUUGACGGGUAGCCGGCCUGAGAGGGUGACCGGCCACAUUGGGACUGAGAUACGGCCCAGACUCCUACGGGAGGCAGCAGUGGGGAAUCUUGCACAAUGGGCGGAAGCCUGAUGCAGCAACGCCGCGUGCGGGAUGACGGCCUUCGGGUUGUAAACCGCUUUCGCCUGUGACGACGCGUGAGUGACGGUAAUGGGUAAAGAAGCACCGGCUAACUACGUG